AAUGGGCGAAAGCCUGAUGCAGCAAUGCCGCGUGUGUGAAGAAGGCUGCGGGUUGUAAAGCACUUUCAGUAGGGAGGAAACAGUUGCGGGUUAAUAUCCCGCGACCUUGACGUUACCUACAGAAGAAGCACCGGCUAACUCUGUGCCAGCAGCCGCGGUAAUACAGAGGGUGCAAGCGUUAAUCGGAAUUACUGGGCGUAAAGCGCGCGUAGGCGGCUUGGUCAGUCGGAUGUGAAAGCCCCGGGCUUAACCUGGGAAUUGCAUUCGAUACUGCCAGGCUAGAAUGUAGUAGAGGGAAGUGGAAUUCCAGGUGUAGCGGUGAAAUGCGUAGAUAUCUGGAGGAACAUCAGUGGCGAAGGCGACUUCCUGGACUAACAUUGACGCUGAGGUGCGAAAGCGUGGGGAGCAAACAGGAUUAGAUACCUGGUAGUCCACGCCGUAACGAUKCAAUAGACGUU
RNAcentral lists this ribosomal RNA (458 nucleotides) under uncultured delta proteobacterium. Its description in RNAcentral is "bacterial SSU rRNA". It matches the Rfam family "Bacterial small subunit ribosomal RNA", at positions 370 to 824 of the family's 1533-position model. Lineage: Bacteria; Deltaproteobacteria. The record is from RNAcentral.